This 274-nucleotide ribosomal RNA is filed under the name uncultured bacterium. RNAcentral describes it as "partial 16S ribosomal RNA". It matches the Rfam family "Bacterial small subunit ribosomal RNA", at positions 523 to 796 of the family's 1533-position model. The record is from RNAcentral.
AUACGGAGGGUGCGAGCGUUAAUCGGAAUUACUGGGCGUAAGGCGUACGUAGGCGGUUGGUUAAGUUAGAUGUGAAAGCCCCGGGCUUAACCUGGGAACUGCAUUUAAAACUGGCGAACUAGAGUUGAGUAGAGGGGAGUGGAAUUUCAGGUGUAGCGGUGAAAUGCGUAGAGAUCUGAAGGAACACCAGUGGCGAAGGCGACUCCCUGGACUCGAACUGACGCUGAGGUACGAAAGCGUGGGUAGCAAACGGGAUUAGAAACCCUAGUAGUCC